This 794-nucleotide ribosomal RNA is filed under the name uncultured archaeon. RNAcentral's name for it is "bacterial SSU rRNA". It matches the Rfam family "Archaeal small subunit ribosomal RNA", at positions 85 to 879 of the family's 1478-position model. The record is from RNAcentral.
ACUGCUCAGUAACACGUGGACAACCUACCCUCAGAUCUGGGAUAAACCUGGGAAACUGGGUAUAAUACCGGAUAGGUCUUGGAUGCUGGAAUGCACCGAGGCCCAAAGCUCCGGCGUCUGAGGAUGGGUCUGCGGCCUAUCAGGGUAGUAGUGGGUGUAAAGUACCUACUAGCCUACGACGGGUACGGGUCGUGAGAGCGAGAGCCCGGAGAUGGAUUCUGAGACACGAAUCCAGGCCCUACGGGGUGCAGCAGGCGCGAAAACUUUACAAUGCCGGCAACGGCGAUAAGGGGACCUCGAGUGCCAGGAUACAAUCCUGGCUGUCGUAAUGCCUAAAAAGCAUUAUAUAGCAAGGGCCGGGCAAGACCGGUGCCAGCCGCCGCGGUAACACCGGCGGCUCGAGUGGUAACCGCUAUUAUUGGGUCUAAAGGGUCUGUAGCCGGCCUGGUAAGUCUUUUGGGAAAUCCGGCAGCUCAACUGUCGGGCUAUCAGAGGAUACUGCUAGGCUCGAGACCGGGAGAGGUGAGAGGUACUUCAUGGGUAGGGGUGAAAUCUUGUAAUCCUUGAAGGACCACCAGUGGCGAAGGCGUCUCACCAGAACGGAUCUGACGGCAAGGGACGAAAGCUAGGGGCACGAACCGGAUUAGAUACCCGGGUAGUCCUAGCCGUAAACGAUACUCGCUAGGUGUCGGCCACGGUGCGACCGUGGUCGGUGCCGUAGGGAAGCCGUGAAGCGAGCCACCUGGGAAGUACGGCCGCAAGGCUGAAACUUAAAGGAAUUGGCGGGGGAGCAC